RNAcentral lists this non-coding RNA (46 nucleotides) under Schistosoma mansoni. The record is from RNAcentral. Lineage: Eukaryota; Metazoa; Platyhelminthes; Trematoda; Strigeidida; Schistosomatidae.
CCACUGUUGAGGAGUCCCACAAUAGGACGAAACGGCCGUUCAGUGC